This 1299-nucleotide ribosomal RNA is filed under the name uncultured Beggiatoa sp. RNAcentral describes it as "bacterial SSU rRNA". The stretch from base 1 to 874 matches the Rfam family "Bacterial small subunit ribosomal RNA". The record is from RNAcentral. Lineage: Bacteria; Pseudomonadati; Pseudomonadota; Gammaproteobacteria; Thiotrichales; Thiotrichaceae.
CUCUCUUUUAUAGGGUGUAAACCUUAAACUGCCCGUACGUAUAGGCUGCGCAACUGUUGGGAAGGGCGAUCGGGUGCGGGCCUCUUCGCUAUUACGCCAGCCUGGCGAAAGGGGGAUGUGCUGCAAGGCGGAUUAAGUUGGGUAACGCCAGGGUUUUCCCAGUCACGACGUUGUAAAACGACGGCCAGUGAAUUGUAAUACGACUCACUAUAGGGCGAAUUGAAUUUAGCGGCCGCGAAUUCGCCCUUCCUACGGGAGGCAGCAGUGGGGAAUAUUGGACAAUGGGCGCAAGCCUGAUCCAGCAAUGCCGCGUGUGUGAAGAAGGCCUGCGGGUUGUAAAGCACUUUAGGUUGGGAAGAAAGCCUAUGGAAGACAAAGCCAUAGGGAUGACGUUACCAACAGAAUAAGCACCGGCUAACUCUGUGCCAGCAGCCGCGGUAAUACAGAGGGUGCGAGCGUUAAUCGGAAUUACUGGGCGUAAAGGGUGCGUAGGCGGCUAAAUAAGUCAGAUGUGAAAGCCCUGGGCUUAACCUGGGAACUGCAUUUGAUACUAUCUAGCUAGAGUACAGUAGAGGAUAGUGGAAUUCCCGGUGUAGCGGUGAAAUGCGUAGAUAUCGGGAGGAACAUCAGUGGCGAAGGCGACUAUCUGGACUGAUACUGACGCUGAGGUACGAAAGCGUGGGGAGCAAACAGGAUUAGAUACCCUGGUAGUCCACGCCCUAAACGAUGAGAACUAGCUGUUGGGGGAGUUAAAUCCCUAAGUAGCGAAGCAAACGCGCUAAGUUCUCCGCCUGGGGACUACGGCCGCAAGGUUAAAACUCAAAUGAAUUGACGGAAGGGCGAAUUCGUUUAAACCUGCAGGACUAGUCCCUUUAGUGAGGGUUAAUUCUGAGCUUGGCGUAAUCAUGGUCAUAGCUGUUUCCUGUGUGAAAUUGUUAUCCGCUCACAAUUCCACACAACAUACGAGCCGGAAGCAUAAAGUGUAAAGCCUGGGGUGCCUAAUGAGUGAGCUAACUCACAUUAAUUGCGUUGCGCUCACUGCCCGCUUUCCAGUCGGGAAACCUGUCGUGCCAGCUGCAUUAAUGAAUCGGCCAACGCGCGGGGAGAGGCGGUUUGCCGUAUUGGGCGCUCUUCCGCUUCCUCGCUCACUGACUCGCUGCGCUCGGUCGUUCGGCUGCGGCGAGCGGUAUCAGCUCACUCAAAGGCGGUAAUACCGGUUAUCCACAGAAUCAGGGGAUAACGCAGGAAAGAACAUGUGAGCAAAAGGCCAGCAAAAGGCCAGGAACCCGUAAAAAGGCC